This 253-nucleotide ribosomal RNA is filed under the name uncultured bacterium. Its description in RNAcentral is "partial 16S ribosomal RNA". It matches the Rfam family "Bacterial small subunit ribosomal RNA", at positions 524 to 776 of the family's 1533-position model. The record is from RNAcentral.
UACGUAGGUGGCAAGCGUUGUCCGGAUUUACUGGGCGCAAAGAGCGCGCAGGCGGUCGUUCAAGUCGCGUGUGAAAGCCCCCGGCUCAACUGGGGAGGGUCACGCGAUACUGAUCGACUCGAAGGCAGGAGAGGGUAGUGGAAUUCCCGGUGUAGUGGUGAAAUGCGUAGAUAUCGGGAGGAACACCAGUGGCGAAGGCGACUACCUGGCCUGUUCUUGACGCUGAGGCGCGAAAGCUAGGGGAGCAAACGGG